Molecule: ribosomal RNA, 454 nt
Filed under: uncultured Rikenellaceae bacterium
Lineage: Bacteria; Pseudomonadati; Bacteroidota; Bacteroidia; Bacteroidales; Rikenellaceae
Description: partial 16S ribosomal RNA
Rfam family: Bacterial small subunit ribosomal RNA
Source: RNAcentral
ACGGGAGGCAGCAGUGAGGAAUAUUGGUCAAUGGACGGAAGUCUGAACCAGCCAUGCCGCGUGCAGGAAUAAGGCCCUAUGGGUCGUAAACUGCUUUUGUAGUGGAGCAAUAAGGUGUACGCGUACAUCGAUGAGAGUACAUUACGAAUAAGCAUCGGCUAACUCCGUGCCAGCAGCCGCGGUAAUACGGAGGAUGCAAGCGUUAUCCGGAUUUAUUGGGUUUAAAGGGUGCGUAGGCUGUUUGUCAAGUCAGGGGUGAAAUCCCGGGGCUCAACUCCGGAAUUGCCUUUGAUACUGGCAGGCUUGAAUACUGUUGCCGUGGGAGGAAUGAGUAGUGUAGCGGUGAAAUGCAUAGAUAUUACUCAGAACACCGAUUGCGAAGGCAUCUCACGAAACAGCGAUUGACGCUGAGGCACGAAAGCGUGGGGAUCAAACAGGAUUAGAUACCCUGGUA